Molecule: transfer RNA, 73 nt
Filed under: Candidatus Roizmanbacteria bacterium CG_4_9_14_3_um_filter_33_18
Lineage: Bacteria; Candidatus Roizmaniibacteriota
Also listed under: 1 other name
Description: tRNA-Ile
Rfam family: tRNA
About the family: Transfer RNA (tRNA) molecules are approximately 80 nucleotides in length.
Source: RNAcentral
GCACUUGUAGCUCAGUGGUUAGAGCGCGUGUCUUAUAAACACGAGGUCGAUGGUUCGAUCCCAUCCUGGUGCA